This 244-nucleotide ribosomal RNA is filed under the name uncultured bacterium. RNAcentral's name for it is "partial 16S ribosomal RNA". It matches the Rfam family "Bacterial small subunit ribosomal RNA", at positions 90 to 334 of the family's 1533-position model. The record is from RNAcentral.
ACUGAGCGGCGGACGGGUGAGUAACGCGUGGGUAACCUGCCUCAUACAGGGGGGUAACAGUUAGAAAUGACUGCUAAUACCGCAUAAGACCACAGUACCGCAUGGUACAGGGGUAAAAACUCCGGUGGUAUGAGAUGGACCCGCGUCUGAUUAGGUAGUCGGUGGGGUAACGGCCUACCAAGCCGACGAUCAGUAGCCGACCUGAGAGGGUGACCGGCCACAUUGGGACUGAGACACGGCCCAG